Hordeum vulgare subsp. vulgare (domesticated barley) is the source of this 125-nucleotide non-coding RNA. The record is from Rfam. Lineage: Eukaryota; Viridiplantae; Streptophyta; Magnoliopsida; Poales; Poaceae.
GGAAUACUUCCUCCGUCCGGAAAUACUUGUCAUGUGAAUGGAUGUAUCUAGAUGUAUUUUAGUUCUAGAUACAUCCAUUUUCAUCCAUUUGUGCGACAAGUAAUUCCGAACGGAGGGAGUAUUAC